This 194-nucleotide ribosomal RNA is filed under the name uncultured bacterium. Its description in RNAcentral is "partial 16S ribosomal RNA". It matches the Rfam family "Bacterial small subunit ribosomal RNA", at positions 338 to 524 of the family's 1533-position model. The record is from RNAcentral.
CCUACGGGAGGCAGCAGUGGGGAAUAUUGCGCAAUGCCCGCAAGGGUGACGCAGCGACGCCGCGUGGGUGAAGAAGCUCUACGGAGUGUAAAGCCCUGUCAGAGGGGAAGAACGGCUUGGAUUCGUAAGGGUUCAGGUGUGACGGUACCCUCAGAGGAAGCUCCGGCUAACUCCGUGCCAGCAGCCGCGGUAAU